GUCGCCCACUCCUCUUCUGUCUCAAAGUCCCAACGAUGAAGCCUUCCCUUUGCGCGUCCACCCAUGUCCAUUUUUGACAAAUCAGCUUCAUCAUCACUGUCAACAACCUCACGAUUGUACUCUUGGUAACCAGGAUAGCACUCCGAAUAGCUUUCAGAAAUAAAGUUAGGAUCCUUCUCUCUGGCAUCUCUCUCUCUCAAUUGCAGAAGCCUCUGAUCAUCCCUCUUGAACACUGACCCUAGGCCUCUAUCCUUUUCUUCUUGAGUCAUAAACUGUGGAUCCUGAAGACCGUCAACAUCAGCUUGCAUAUCAUAAUUCUGCUGGAGAUAUUGCUCAGGAUAAGCCACCUGUUCAGGAUACUGAUAAUCUUGCCACUCUGGUUGGUAAACACCAGCUACCGCUUGUGCUUGCGCUGCAUCAUAUCCAUUCGUGUAUUGCCAAUCAUGAGAAGGCUCAGAUGGAGGUACUGGGCCAUAGGCAGGUUCACU
This 488-nucleotide unclassified non-coding RNA is filed under the name Hevea brasiliensis (rubber tree). The record is from RNAcentral. Lineage: Eukaryota; Viridiplantae; Streptophyta; Magnoliopsida; Malpighiales; Euphorbiaceae.